AAACUUUCCAGAGAUGGAUUGGUGCCUUCGGGAAUCUAGAUACAGGUGCUGCAUGGCUGUCGUCAGCUCGUGUCGUGAGAUGUUGGGUUAAGUCCCGCAACGAGCGCAACCCUUUUCCUUACUUGCCAGCAUUUCGGAUGGGAACUUUAAGGAUACUGCCAGUGACAAACUGGAGGAAGGCGGGGACGACGUCAAGUCAUCAUGGCCCUUACGGCCAGGGCUACACACGUGCUACAAUGGUCGGUACAAAGGGUUGCUACACAGCGAUGUGAUGCUAAUCUCAAAAAGCCGAUCGUAGUCCGGAUUGGAGUCUGCAACUCGACUCAAUGAAGUCGGAAUCGCUAGUAAUCGCGGAUCAGAAUGCCGCGGUGAAUACGUUCCCGGGCCUUGUACACACCGCCCGUCACACCAUGGGAGUUUGUUGCACCAGAAGUAGCUAGCCUAACUGCAAAGAGGGCGGUUACCACGGUGUGGCCGAUGACUGGGGUG
RNAcentral lists this ribosomal RNA (489 nucleotides) under Acinetobacter baumannii OIFC032. Its description in RNAcentral is "bacterial SSU rRNA". It matches the Rfam family "Bacterial small subunit ribosomal RNA", at positions 993 to 1482 of the family's 1533-position model. The record is from RNAcentral. Lineage: Bacteria; Pseudomonadati; Pseudomonadota; Gammaproteobacteria; Moraxellales; Moraxellaceae.